CUAAUGGGGAUGUGGAUGCUU
This 21-nucleotide non-coding RNA is filed under the name Arabidopsis thaliana (thale cress). The record is from RNAcentral. Lineage: Eukaryota; Viridiplantae; Streptophyta; Magnoliopsida; Brassicales; Brassicaceae.